GACGAACGCUGGCGGCGUGCUUAACACAUGCAAGUCGAACGGAAAGGCCCCUUUGGGGGUACUCGAGUGGCGAACGGGUGAGUAACACGUGAGUAACCUGCCCUUGACUUCGGGAUAACUUCAGGAAACUGGGGCUAAUACCGGCUAGGAAUCCUUGCUGCAUGGUGGGGGUUGGAAAGCUUCGGCGGUUUUGGAUGGACUCGCGGCUUAUCAGCUUGUUGGUGGGGUAGUGGCUUACCAAGGCUUUGACGGGUAGCCGGCCUGAGAGGGCGACCGGCCACAGUGGGACUGGGAUACGGCCCAGACUCCUACGGGAGGCAGCAGUGGGGAAUAUUGCACAAUGGGCGGAAGCCUGAUGCAGCAACGCCGCGUGCGGGAUGACGGCCUUCGGGUUGUAAACCGCUUUCAGCAGGGGCGAAGCUUGUGGUGACGGUACCUGCAGAAGAAGCACCGGCUAACUACGUG
This 465-nucleotide ribosomal RNA is filed under the name uncultured bacterium. Its description in RNAcentral is "partial 16S ribosomal RNA". It matches the Rfam family "Bacterial small subunit ribosomal RNA", at positions 28 to 507 of the family's 1533-position model. The record is from RNAcentral.